RNAcentral lists this ribosomal RNA (199 nucleotides) under uncultured Acaulospora. RNAcentral's name for it is "partial 18S ribosomal RNA". It matches the Rfam family "Eukaryotic small subunit ribosomal RNA", at positions 569 to 765 of the family's 1831-position model. The record is from RNAcentral. Lineage: Eukaryota; Fungi; Glomeromycota; Glomeromycetes; Diversisporales; Acaulosporaceae.
AGCAGCCGCGGUAAUUCCAGCUCCAAUAGCGUAUAUUAAAGUUGUUGCAGUUAAAAAGACUCGUAGUUGAAUUCGGGGUUCGAUACGUUGGUCGGGCUUUUUGGUUCUGUACUAGCGUAAUGGAUUCCUACCUUCUGAAUAACCGGCAUGCCAUUAAAUUUGGUGCGCCGGGGGAAGCAGGACUGUUACCUUGAAAAAA